AUUACUUUGGCAGAUAAGUGCAAUAAAUUUAGAAUUUAUUAAUGUAUAAUUAUACAGGUAAUA
Molecule: transfer RNA, 63 nt
Filed under: Cyclommatus strigiceps vitalisi
Lineage: Eukaryota; Metazoa; Arthropoda; Insecta; Coleoptera; Lucanidae
Description: tRNA-Leu
Source: RNAcentral